GGAGGAUCCGAGCGUUAUCCGGAUUUAUUGGGUUUAAAGGGAGCGUAGGUGGACUGGUAAGUCAGUUGUGAAAGUUUGCGGCUCAACCGUAAAAUUGCAGUUGAUACUGGUUUCCUUGAGUGCAGUUGAGGCAGGCGGAAUUCGUGGUGUANCGGUGAAAUGCUUAGAUAUCACGAAGAACCCCGAUUGCGAAGGCAGCUUGCUAAACUGUAACUGACGUUCAUGCUCGAAAGUGUGGGUAUCAAACAGGAUUAGAUACCCUGGUAGUCCACACGGUAAACGAUGGAUACUCGCUGUUGGCGAUAUACUGUCAGCGGCCAAGCGAAAGCAUUAAGUAUCCCACCUGGGGAGU
This 352-nucleotide ribosomal RNA is filed under the name uncultured bacterium. RNAcentral's name for it is "bacterial SSU rRNA". It matches the Rfam family "Bacterial small subunit ribosomal RNA", at positions 527 to 881 of the family's 1533-position model. The record is from RNAcentral.